GAUCCGGAAUCAAAUAUAUUAUUUUCAACGCACGUAUCACCUGCAAAGGGACAAAUAAAUGUAAAGGAAAUCCGAUGAGAAAUCUAACAGUGCGAAGACGAUACGCGUCGACAACUUUAGGACUGGCAUCUGUGUGUGUGCGCGUAAGAAGAACGUUAUUGCUCUCAUCGCCAAGUGAAGGGAAAAAGGUCUUUAAAAACAGUUGUCGUCUUGGUCGUCGUAAUCAUCGUUGCUGUACUGCCGACGCUGACGGCGACGGCGACGGCGACGCCGACGUCGACGCCUGACGCUCUCGUUGUCUUCGUCUCCGUCUUCAUAUCGCUCUUAAUCACGAAGGCGCCGCGUUGCGGCGUUUUUGAUUCUGGCUGAGUAAAUACGCGUAAAUUCUCAUACAAUACUUAUUGUUAGUGGAUUCAGACCGCGCCAUAUAUCCACCGGAAAUAAGAGCCAUCUUCGCGCGGAUGCGUUUACAUCUUUCGGAUUGCCUCGCAUCUUUCAUUCUUUGUUUCUUGUGUCGAAUAAGACUGGUGCCAUGUGUCGUUUGUGUUUUUCUUUUACCUGCUCUUCGGUGACAUUGUGCAAACCAAAAUGUACUAGAACACAAUGACAAUCGGCACGAAACGUCGUGAAAUAUAUAAUUAAAUGAACGGUAUAUCGAUUAUAGCUACGUUUAAGUAGUGCAAGGGUAACAAUACUAGCGAUAUGUAGAGGAUACUUGAGUUUAAUCGAUUAUCGUUUUGACAUCACUUUUUCUAAUGUCUUAUAUAAAAAAGGUUUUUAUCAAGUUGAUAGAGAAAUGUUAAUGACGAGAGAGAAUUGGAUGUUUUGUGUGACUAAGUGACAAUUGAACGAUUAACAUUAUCACAUUAACCGAAAAAAGAAACUACCGAUGAAUACAUGCGACAGAAAUUCUGCGAAAGAAAGCCAAGAUUUAACUCAACAGUCAGCAGCGUUUCGUUCUAAGACGCACGAGACUAUUGUGUAACGUUCACAAAUGUAUAUGGGAAAUAAGGCGCGGGACUGUUAUGACGCAUACCGUGACUGACAGAGACGGACAGACGAUCUCGCCAUCGGUUUGAACGUGAGGUGGAAUGGGCCGCCGGCCGAUUCAACGGACACAACGUGUCAAAUGAAGAAAUUGGCACGGCAAAAAACACGUGCGCAAUCGGAAACGUUCAUUCGUAGGGGUAGGGGGGAGAGGCAAGCCAUGUUGGUCGCGCGUUUUGUCGCGCUUCGUCGCGCGUGCUCAACGGCGAAAAUAAACAGCGGCGUCGCGCUGUCUACUGUGCGAACCACGCGCACGCGCGACGAAGCCUGUACGCGUGGCUCGCGCUCGCCCUCAUCUAUUUAUUGUUCCUUACGAAUCGACCUGACUCUUUUUACGCCUAGCUCUGAAUUCAAAUUUACUUACCAACAUUAACCUCGUCGAUCUAAUGUGGAUUGCGUUGCGGCUGUUGCGAACGAACAGAGCAUGGCACACGGAGCCUCGCGCGUUUUAUAGUUCUCCCGACUUUUUAAAUCCUAUCCUGAGAAAGAUAGGGAGUUUUCCCCUAGAAAAAUCAUGAUGGCAAGAAGAGAUGAACCGUAGUGCGUGUUACUACUUCUCGAGUAACUUAAGCUUGACGAGUUUCGAGACACCUACUCGGAUAAAUGAUGACGAGAAAGUGUGAGGCAACAUUCAGAGUGAGAUUUUGCGAGAUUUAGCAAUCUUUCUGCUGGCUGUUCAACGAUGUAAUUGUCGAAAAAAAAUUAGGAUUAAAGUAGGAGUUUCGUAAUCAAGCCUUGUACAAUAAAUAAUUAUACUUGAUUUUAAUAAAAAUUUUAAAAUUU
This is a long non-coding RNA of Solenopsis invicta (red fire ant), 1830 nucleotides long. RefSeq lists it as uncharacterized. The record is from RefSeq and is a predicted model, not a curated record. The transcript is spliced from 2 exons. NCBI's taxonomy places the organism in Eukaryota, Metazoa, Arthropoda, Insecta, Hymenoptera, Formicidae.